Molecule: ribosomal RNA, 471 nt
Filed under: Erseia oligochaeta
Lineage: Eukaryota; Metazoa; Annelida; Polychaeta; Phyllodocida; Syllidae
Description: partial 16S ribosomal RNA
Rfam family: Archaeal large subunit ribosomal RNA
Source: RNAcentral
AGCUUAUUGAUUUUUUAUAAUAAGUGACUUCUGCCCAGUGAAAAUUUAACGGCCGCGGUAUCUUAACCGUGCAAAGGUAGCAUAAUCAUUUGCCUUUUAAUUGGAGGCUAGAAUGAAUGAAUUCACGUAAACCAAUCUUUUCCAUAUUAUUCUGUAAAAAUUAUUUUUUAGGUGAAGAAACCUAGAUUUUAUUGAAAGACAAGAAGACCCUAUCAAGCUUUAUAAUAAAAAAUUCAUUAUUUUUAAUUAUUUGAUUGGGACGAUUAAUGGAGAUAAUAAACCUCCAUAAAACUAAAGAAAAAUUUUUCUCUAAACUUAAAAUUUUAAAAUAAAAAAGCUACUGUAGGGAUAACAGGCUAAUAAUUUUUUAGAGUUCAAAUUAAAGAAAUUGAUUGGCACCUCGAUGUUGGCUUAGGAACUCUUUUCUUUGCAGCAAAAGAAAAAGAUAGUUUGUUCAACUAUUAAAUUCCU